RNAcentral lists this ribosomal RNA (459 nucleotides) under uncultured bacterium. RNAcentral's name for it is "partial 16S ribosomal RNA". It matches the Rfam family "Bacterial small subunit ribosomal RNA", at positions 338 to 795 of the family's 1533-position model. The record is from RNAcentral.
CCUACGGGAGGCAGCAGUGAGGAAUAUUGGUCAAUGGGCGCGAGCCUGAACCAGCCAAGUAGCGUGAAGGAUGACUGCCCUACGGGUUGUACACUUCUUUUAUAAAGGAAUAAAGUGAGGCACGUGUGCCUUUUUGUAUGUACUUUAUGAAUAAGGAACGGCUAACUCCGUAACAUCAGCCGCGGUAAUAGGGAGGAUCAGACCGUUAUCCGGUUUUAUUGGGUUAAAGGGAGCGUAGGUGGGUUGUUAAGUCAGUUGUGAAAGUUUGCGGCUCAACCGUAAAAUUGCAAUUGAUACUGGCAGUCUUGAGUACAGUUGAGGUAGGCGGAAUUCGUGGUGUAGCGGUGAAAUGCUUAGAUAUCACGAAGAACUCCGAUUGCGAAGGCAGCUUACUAAACUGCCACUGACAUUGAUGCUCGAAAGUGUGGGUAUCAAACAGGAUUAGAUACCCGGGUAGUC